UACUAGGAGUUUGCGAUAUACCGUCAAGCUUCCACAGCGAAAGCGUUAAGUAAUCCACCUGGGGAGUACGCCGGCAACGGUGAAACUCAAAGGAAUUGACGGGGGCCCGCACAAGCGGAGGAACAUGUGGUUUAAUUCGAUGAUACGCGAGGAACCUUACCCGGGAUUGAGAUGUAGAUGACGGAUGGUGAAAACCGUCUUCCCUUCGGGGCUUCUAUGUAGGUGCUGCAUGGUUGUCGUCAGCUCGUGCCGUGAGGUGUCGGCUUAAGUGCCAUAACGAGCGCAACCCACAUCGGUAGUUGCUAACAGUUUUCGCUGAGGACUCUACCGAGACUGCCGUCGUAAGGCGUGAGGAAGGUGUGGAUGACGUCAAAUCAGCACGGCCCUUACAUCCGGGGCGACACACGUGUUACAAUGGGAGGGACAAAGGGCAGCUACCGGGCGACCGGAUGCGAAUCUCUAAACCCUUCCCCAGUUCGGAUCGGAGUCUGCAACUCGACUCCGUGAAGCUGGAUUCGCUAGUAAUCGCGCAUCAGCCAUGGCGCGGUGAAUACGUUCCCGGGCCUUGUACACACCGCCCGUCAA
RNAcentral lists this ribosomal RNA (585 nucleotides) under uncultured bacterium. RNAcentral's name for it is "bacterial SSU rRNA". It matches the Rfam family "Bacterial small subunit ribosomal RNA", at positions 814 to 1400 of the family's 1533-position model. The record is from RNAcentral.